UACGUAGGUGACAAGCGUUGUCCGGAUUUACUGGGCGUAAAGAGCGCGCAGGCGGUCGAUCAAGUCGAGUGUGAAAGCCCCCGGCUCAACUGGGGAGGGUCAUUCGAUACUGAUCGACUCGAAGGCAGGAGAGGGUAGUGGAAUUCCCGGUGUAGUGGUGAAAUGCGUAGAUAUCGGGAGGAACACCAGUGGCGAAGGCGACUACCUGGCCUGUUCUUGACGCUGAGGCGCGAAAGCUAGGGGAGCGAACGGGG
This 254-nucleotide ribosomal RNA is filed under the name uncultured bacterium. Its description in RNAcentral is "partial 16S ribosomal RNA". It matches the Rfam family "Bacterial small subunit ribosomal RNA", at positions 524 to 777 of the family's 1533-position model. The record is from RNAcentral.